UUUAUUGAGCACCUCCUAUCAA
Molecule: microRNA, 22 nt
Filed under: Canis lupus familiaris (dog)
Lineage: Eukaryota; Metazoa; Chordata; Mammalia; Carnivora; Canidae
Also listed under: 5 other names
Description: Cfa-Mir-325_3p (mature (guide))
Source: RNAcentral